Molecule: ribosomal RNA, 433 nt
Filed under: uncultured Actinomycetes bacterium
Lineage: Bacteria; Bacillati; Actinomycetota; Actinomycetes
Description: bacterial SSU rRNA
Rfam family: Bacterial small subunit ribosomal RNA
Source: RNAcentral
AGAGUUUUGAUUCUGGCUCAGGACGAACGCUGGCGGCGUGCUUUACACAUGCAAGUCGAACGGAAAGGCCCUGCUUUUGUGGGGUGCUCGAGUGGCGAACGGGUGAGUAACACGUGAGUAACCUGCCCUUGACUUUGGGAUAACUUCAGGAAACUGGGGCUAAUACCGGAUAGGAGCUCCUGCUGCAUGGUGGGGGUUGGAAAGUUUCGGCGGUUGGGGAUGGACUCGCGGCUUAUCAGCUUGUUGGUGGGGUAGUGGCUUACCAAGGCUUUGACGGGUAGCCGGCCUGAGAGGGUGACCGGCCACAUUGGGACUGAGAUACGGCCCAGGCUCCUAGGGAGGCAGCAGUGGGGAAUAUUGCACAAUGGGCGGAAGCCUGAUGCAGCAACGCCUGCGUGCGGGAUGACGGCCUUUCGGGUUGUAAACCGCUUUC